AUAUAUAAUAACAAACAAUAUGAGCUUUUGGAGUAUUCGAUGUAAGUAU
Molecule: non-coding RNA, 49 nt
Filed under: Trypanosoma brucei brucei
Lineage: Eukaryota; Euglenozoa; Kinetoplastea; Trypanosomatida; Trypanosomatidae
Source: RNAcentral